GCCCGUUUAGUGUAAUGGAAAACACGUCCUGACAGUAUAACACCGGCGCCUUCGCCACCUUCACUGAGUGGUAGGAAUAAGACCGACGACAUCAUCAGGGAGAUCUUGGUUCGAUUCCAAGGAUGGGUA
Molecule: non-coding RNA, 129 nt
Organism: Nemania abortiva
Lineage: Eukaryota; Fungi; Ascomycota; Sordariomycetes; Xylariales; Xylariaceae
Source: the annotation of a GenBank genome assembly